AUUGAACGCUGGCGGUAUGCUUAACACAUGCAAGUCGAACGGUAACAGGACUAGUUUACUAGUUGCUAACGAGUGGCGGACGGGGGAGUAAUAUGUAGUAAUCUGCCGAUCAAUUCGAGGCAACUCGGGGAAACUCGAGCUAAUACCGGAUACGCUCUACGGAGGAAAGUGUGGGACAUUAGGGCCACCUGUUGAUAGAUGAGCGUGCAUCGGAUUAGCUAGUUGGCGGGGUAAAGGCCCACCAAGGCGACGAUCCGUAGCUGGUCUGAGAGGACGACCAGCCACACUGGGACUGAGACACGGCCCAGACUCCUACGGGAGGCAGCAGUGGGGAAUAUUGGACAAUGGGGGCAACCCUGAUCCAGCAAUACCGCGUGUGUGAAGAAGGCCUGCGGGUUGUAAAGCACUUUUAGUGGGGAGGAAGGCAUUUACGUUAAUAGCGUAGAUGAUUGACGCCACCCACAGAAACAGCACCGGCUAACUCUGUGCCAGCCGCCGCAGUAA
This 504-nucleotide ribosomal RNA is filed under the name uncultured bacterium. RNAcentral's name for it is "partial 16S ribosomal RNA". It matches the Rfam family "Bacterial small subunit ribosomal RNA", at positions 30 to 523 of the family's 1533-position model. The record is from RNAcentral.